CGCGGGAGGCAGAAGGGGCUCGGAGCGUGGGCCCCAGCCUGUGGCCUCCGGGACCUCGUGUCCGCGACGGGGCGGCCGGAGAGUCUCGGGGAACAGAGGGGGCACCUGGGUGCCUUGGACCCCUCCACGUCGCAGGCCCUGACCCCGCAGCUCCUUCCCCGGCUCUUCCCGCUCUUCCCUGCCGGCGGGGAGGCCUCGUCCCGCCCCGCUAGCGUGGCGGCGCCGGGACCUUCCGGCCGCCCGACACGGGUGACACUGCGCGGCCCGGCCGGGCGCUGCACGGGGAGCGCCGGUUAUUUUUAGCCCCGCUGUUCGGGCGGGUUCAAGAAUUUAGUCAACAAAGUUGCUGGCACCUCCGUGCGGCGGGAUCCACCGCGGACGCCCGGCUCCAGGGGCGCGCGGCGCAGGGCUCGGUGAGGAGGAAAAGGAGCCGCCGGUGUGCCUGGAGCAGGGCAGAGAUCCCUGACACCGCCCCUCCAGGGUCAACGGAGAUGGAGGGACCCCACCUUGCCGCGGCAUGACCCAGAGUGGCUCCCCCCUACAAAAUUCUCUAUAUGUCAUACGACUUUUACAAUUAAAGAAUUCAAUCUUAAAUGUACCCUACUAUGCAUAGGAAGAAAAGUCUGGAAGGACAUGGACAGGAAGUCACCAGGGGCAACCUAGCCAUGUGCUGGGGGCAACUAUCUAAGGGCUUUUACCUUGUUCCUGUCAUGAAUGUUUAUUAUUUUAUAAUAAAAAUGACAUACACCUGGCAGUGAAAUCCCACUUCCUAAGAUGUCAUAGGGGUGGCCUGGCCCCAAUGUGCUAGGCAGGUGCCCCUCGCCCCUUCUCCCUGGCGUGCACAUUCCUCGGGGUGGGGCUGGGCUGGGCCUCCCCUGUAAGGCCAGGCCCCUCCCCUGUAAUGCCAGGCCAGGCAAAGCAUGAGGACCAUCCUCCGGCUGAGAUGGCUGAGCAGGAGGCAGAACCAAGGCCCUCGGCCAGGUGUUUGCGCUCCAGGCCACAUGGGUUGCUGGAUGUGUUUCCGGGCUUGGGGCUCCCUUUAGAGCUCCCAGGG
RNAcentral lists this long non-coding RNA (1054 nucleotides) under Equus asinus (donkey). RNAcentral describes it as "lncRNA (ENSEASG00005032066.1)". Lineage: Eukaryota; Metazoa; Chordata; Mammalia; Perissodactyla; Equidae. The record is from RNAcentral.